Myodes glareolus (Bank vole) is the source of this 1927-nucleotide non-coding RNA. Lineage: Eukaryota; Metazoa; Chordata; Mammalia; Rodentia; Cricetidae. The record is from RefSeq and is a predicted model, not a curated record.
AAAUGGACUCCUACAAUGCCUCUCUUUCUAUGACUGAACUUCAGGAAUUCAGUCCAGUGCUAAACUGUGUAUCUUUGCAACUGCUUCCAUCUGGAUGAAGAUUCUAUGAUGACAAUUAAGGUUCUGAAAAUUGUGAAUAAUACUGCUGUGAGCAUAGUUGUGAUGUGGGAUUCCCUUCUGUAUGCUGUCAGAUAUCCCAGAUUAUAAGUGAAGUGAACUCUCCGCUGGAGUUUUUGAUGGUUUGAAUGAGAAUGUCCCUCAUAGACCCUGGCAUUUGAGCACUUGGUUCUCCACUGGUGGCACAGGUUGGAGAAGUCCAGGAAUUAUGAAAUCAUGAUGUUGUUGGAGAAAGUGUAAUGCUGGGGGGGUUGGCUUUGAGAUUUCAAAGUCUCAUGCCCUUUCUGCCUUGAGCUUACGGUUCCAGAUGUAAACCCAAUGCUUCCUGCUUCCGUUGCCAUGCUUCACUCCUUCUGGGUUCUUAUUCCUCUAGAACUAUAAGCUCAAAUGAACUUUUCUUCUCUAUGUUUCUUUGGUCAUGGCAUUUUACCACAGCAAUUAAAAAGUAACCAAUGCAAAACUUUUCUCUCCACCUCCUGGCAUAGUUGGGGUUUCUAUUGCUUUGAUAAAAUACCAAUAACAAAAGGAACUUGGGGAUGAAUGGGUUUGCUUUAUCUUCUGUGUCUUGAGUCAAAGUCUAUUAUCAUCCAAACAAGUCAGUAUAAGCACUAAAGGCAGGAAUCUGAAGUCAGGAAUUGAGGAAAAGGACAGGGAGGAGUGCUGCUUACUGGCUUGCUCAGCCUGCGUUUUUAUAGCACCAGGAAGACCAGCCCGGGAGUAGCACAAUGUAUUCACAAUAGCCUGAGUCUUCCCUCACUAUUCACUAAGAAAGUGCGGUACAGACGUGCCUACAGUUUGAUCUUAAAGAAGCGUUGUCUCAAUUGAGACUUCUUUCUAAAUGACUCCAUCUCGUGUCAAGCUAACUCUAGUCAGCACACUUCUCCUCCUGCACAAAGGAUAUGGCACGUUCCCCACGUCUCUUCCAUCUCUCCUCAAGUAGCUUCACUGAUCAGAAGGACAAGCUCUUGUUUGACAUAGAAACUUCCAGAGCCGUUAGAAUGCAAUCAGAUCAGUUAAACAACUUGAAUACUUGUUUCUCCUAAAGAACUGGCAUUUAUUACCACCACCUCGCUUCACUUGUAAACCCCGUUGCUGUGGUUUUCAAGAUGUAGAAAUAUCAACCAUGGUAGAUAGAAAAAGAGGAAGAAGUAUAUGCAACUCUUUCCUUUUUAAAUAAGGUUCCUGGCCUGGGAGCAUAACUUACUGGUAAUUUGGCAGAGCACUUCUCCUGCAAGCAUAAAUAUUGGAAUGAUUGUAAAUGAAACAGACAAACAAACAAGCAAGCAGCUGGGCAUGGUGCCAAGGAUUUAUAAUCCUAGCACUGAGGUCACGGAGAUUAGAGGAUCCCUAGAAUUUGUUAGGCAGUUACCCUAGACUACUUGGUAGGUUCCAGGUCAGUGAGAGACUGUGUAUUAAAAGAAGGAGGAGGAGGAGGAGCAGGAGCAGGAGGAGAAGGAGAAGGAUGAGACUCUUUGUUACCUCAUAGAGGAACUCUUGUAAAUUUUGUAAAUUUUCUAACUACUGUAAAGCAUACGAUGUUACAGAGCAGUUCUUUUUCUUAGCUAAAUCCGAUAGAGAGACAAGAAAGCCUGACCAUUGGAACUCAAGCCAUCUUUGUCUUUUGUCUACCUUCUCAUAAUAAUUUAAAUUUCCCUUGGAAAUCAUGCAUUGUAGGUAGUUUUCAACUCUGGUCUACUGUUCUCAGAAUACUCUUCUAAUUCUUGCCAGCUUUCAAGUUGCUUGCAAUGUUCCCACCAUGAAAAAAAUGCCUCUUUUGGUUUAUUUUUAAUAAAUAAAUUAUGUCUUACCA